RNAcentral lists this ribosomal RNA (637 nucleotides) under Bacillus subtilis. RNAcentral's name for it is "bacterial SSU rRNA". It matches the Rfam family "Bacterial small subunit ribosomal RNA", at positions 44 to 669 of the family's 1533-position model. Lineage: Bacteria; Bacillati; Bacillota; Bacilli; Caryophanales; Bacillaceae. The record is from RNAcentral.
GGGCUAUCAGCAGUCGAGCGGAAGAUGGGAGCUUGCUCCCUGAUGUUAGCGGCGGACGGGUGAGUAACACGUGGGUAACCUGCCUGUAAGACUGGGAUAAUUCCGGGAAACCGGGGCUAAUACCGGAUGCUUGUUUGAACCGCAUGGUUCAAACAUAAAAGGUGGCUUCGGCUACCACUUACAGAUGGACCCGCGGCGCAUUAGCUAGUUGGUGAGGUAACGGCUCACCAAGGCAACGAUGCGUAGCCGACCUGAGAGGGUGAUCGGCCACACUGGGACUGAGACACGGCCCAGACUCCUACGGGAGGCAGCAGUAGGGAAUCUUCCGCAAUGGACGAAAGUCUGACGGAGCAACGCCGCGUGAGUGAUGAAGGUUUUCGGAUCGUAAAGCUCUGUUGUUAGGGAAGAACAAGUACCGUUCGAAUAGGGCGGUACCUUGACGGUACCUAACCAGAAAGCCACGGCUAACUACGUGCCAGCAGCCGCGGUAAUACGUAGGUGGCAAGCGUUGUCCGGAAUUAUUGGGCGUAAAGGGCUCGCAGGCGGUUCCUUAAGUCUGAUGUGAAAGCCCCCGGCUCAACCGGGGAGGGUCAUUGGAAACUGGGGAACUUGAGUGUAGAAGAGGAGAGUGUAAUUU